This 225-nucleotide ribosomal RNA is filed under the name uncultured bacterium. RNAcentral describes it as "partial 16S ribosomal RNA". It matches the Rfam family "Bacterial small subunit ribosomal RNA", at positions 1276 to 1500 of the family's 1533-position model. The record is from RNAcentral.
CAAAACACAGUCUCAGUUCAGAUUGUAGGCUGAAACUCGCCUAUAUGAAGUCGGAAUUGCUAGUAAUCGCGGAUCAGCAUGCCGCGGUGAAUACGUUCCCGGGCCUUGUACACACCGCCCGUCACACCAUGAGAGUCGAUAACACCCGAAGCCUGUAGUCUAACAGCAAUGAGGACGCAGUCGAAGGUGGGAUUGAUAAUUAGGGUGAAGUCGUAACAAGGUAAC